This 465-nucleotide ribosomal RNA is filed under the name uncultured Klebsiella sp. RNAcentral describes it as "bacterial SSU rRNA". It matches the Rfam family "Bacterial small subunit ribosomal RNA", at positions 338 to 795 of the family's 1533-position model. The record is from RNAcentral. Lineage: Bacteria; Pseudomonadati; Pseudomonadota; Gammaproteobacteria; Enterobacterales; Enterobacteriaceae.
CCUACGGGCGGCUGCAGUGGGGAAUAUUGCACAAUGGGCGCAAGCCUGAUGCAGCCAUGCCGCGUGUGUGAAGAAGGUCUUCGGGUUGUAAAGCACUUUCAGCGGGGAGGAAGGCGGUGAGGUUAAUAACCUCAUCGAUUGACGUUACCCGCAGAAGAAGCACCGGCUAACUCCGUGCCAGCAGCCGCGGUAAUACGGAGGGUGCAAGCGUUAAUCGGAAUUACUGGGCGUAAAGCGCACGCAGGCGGUCUGUCAAGUCGGAUGUGAAAUCCCCGGGCUCAACCUGGGAACUGUAUUCGAAACUGGCAGGCUAGAGUCUUGUAGAGGGGGGUAGAAUUCCAGGUGUAGCGGUGAAAUGCGUAGAGAUCUGGAGGAAUACCGGUGGCGAAGGCGGCCCCCUGGACAAAGACUGACGCGCAGGUGCGAAAGCGUGGGGAGCAAACAGGAUUAGAUACCCGGGUAGUC